GCAGGGUGAAGGUGCAGUAACAUGCACUGGAGGCCCGAACCGUUGAGCGUUGAAAAGCUCUCGGAUGACCUGUGCCUAGGGGUGAAAGGCCAAUCAAACUUGCUGAUAGCUGGUUCUCCUCGAAAUCUAUUUAGGUAGAGCGUCAUCCGAAUACCCCGGGGGGUAGAGCACUGGAUGGGUAAUGGGGCCCCACAGGCUUACUGAUCCUAACCAAACUCCGAAUACCCGGGAGUACUAGAUGGCAGACACACUGCGGAUGCUAACGUCCGUAGUGGAGAGGGAAACAACCCUGACCUACAGCUAAGGCCCCCAAUUCAUGGCUAAGUGGGAAAGCAGGUGGGACGACCAAAACAACCAGGAGGUUGGCUUAGAAGCAGCCAUCCUUUAAAGAUAGCGUAACAGCUCACUGGUCUAAACAAGUUGUCCUGCGGCGAAGAUGUAACGGGGCUCAAGCCAUGAGCCGAAGCUUAGGAUGCCGUAAGGCAUGGUAGCGGAGCGUAGUG
Molecule: ribosomal RNA, 503 nt
Filed under: Conticribra weissflogii
Lineage: Eukaryota; Bacillariophyta; Thalassiosirophyceae; Thalassiosirales; Thalassiosiraceae
Description: partial Bacterial large subunit ribosomal RNA
Rfam family: Bacterial large subunit ribosomal RNA
Source: RNAcentral